GAGAAUCUGGUGGCACUAAAAAAUGGAAAGCUGAUGUUAGCCAAGAAGACUCGACAAACUCAGGUGGUUGGAAAGCUUGGGGAAGCAGUAAACCUGAAGUACAUGAGGGUGAGUCUACAAAAGUACAAGAUUCUUGGAACUCUCAGAAAUGGAAAGCUGGAGAGGAUGUUACCCAAAAAGACUCUCAGAAGUCUAGUGCUUGGGGUGCAACAAAACUGAAGUCAAAUGAUAUCCAAGAAGACUCGACAAACUCAGGUGGUUGGAAAGCUUGGGGAAGCAGUAAACCUGAAGUACAUGAGGGUGAGUCUACAAAAGUACAAGAUUCUUGGAACUCUCAGAAAUGGAAAGCUGCAGAGGAUGUUAGCCAAAAAGACUCGCAGAAGUCUAGUGCUUGGGGUGCAACAAAACCGAAGUCAAAUGAUAAUAGGUCCUCGU
This 435-nucleotide long non-coding RNA is filed under the name Medicago truncatula (barrel medic). RNAcentral describes it as "long non-coding RNA (MTRU_LNC006076)". The record is from RNAcentral. Lineage: Eukaryota; Viridiplantae; Streptophyta; Magnoliopsida; Fabales; Fabaceae.